Molecule: ribosomal RNA, 177 nt
Filed under: uncultured bacterium
Lineage: Bacteria
Description: partial 16S ribosomal RNA
Rfam family: Bacterial small subunit ribosomal RNA
Source: RNAcentral
UAGGGAAUUUUCGGCAAUGGGCGAAAGCCUGACCGAGCAAUGCCGCGUGAACGAUGAAGGUCUUCGGAUCGUAAAGUUCUGUUGUAGAGGAAGAACACUAUUUGUAGGAAAUGACAAGUAGCUGACGGUACUCUACCAGAAAGCUCCGGCUAACUACGUGCCAGCAGCCGCGGUAAU